AUCCAGAUGACGAGUCCAAAAAAGAACGAAAUGCGCAUCCUGGAU
RNAcentral lists this non-coding RNA (45 nucleotides) under Trichobilharzia regenti. Lineage: Eukaryota; Metazoa; Platyhelminthes; Trematoda; Strigeidida; Schistosomatidae. The record is from RNAcentral.